Long non-coding RNA from Equus caballus (horse), 1821 nucleotides. Lineage: Eukaryota; Metazoa; Chordata; Mammalia; Perissodactyla; Equidae. The record is from Ensembl.
AAAUUAGAUAAGCAUUUAGCUCUCCUCGGGAGACUCAGUUUAUAGCCAAGUGGAUCCCAUUUGUAGGACGUGGGCUCAGCACACCCUGAAGGCUGACCGGUUGAAAAGGCUUAUCCUGCCCGUCAGGAAAGCAAGAACUCUCAAGUCGACAGUCUAGCUCCUGAGCUCAUAUGUGGACUUAAAUCUCUGGUUAAUGAGAAAGGCCGUUCAGUAAGAAGGUAGCUCCAAUGUACUGGGAAUUAUAAAACUGCUCCCUCAUCAGGCUUCUCUACAUUGGCCUUAGAAGUGACAAACCUUCAGAAAUAGCAGGCACCUACCCGUGGCCCAUCCAAACAAGAUCCUGACAAAUUCGAGAGUAAUUUGUAGAGACCGUGUUGUAUGAAAGAUAUUCAGGUUCCUAGAUCUAAGAACACCUGCGAGGAUUAUGAUAGCUGGAGAUUUCUUAAAUGAAAGCAAGAGUGAAUUUCUUUGUGUUGUUCCAGAAAAGAAAAUGAACGUGUCAUUGAAGGCACAUAGACCAGAGACACACACCUGUUGAAUGAUGCUAAUUUGCUGGCUGUGUUUACAGAAGAUGACCCUGCUCUCUUGGUUCCAACUAAUUGUACCAGGGGCCACAUGUCUCGGAUUCCCUUUCUCAAAAACCGAAAGAAGGAAAUUAUAGUCAGAUGGCUGGGGACAGUGGAACUGGCCACAAGAUCAGAGUUGGCUCAAUGGCAAGUCAGUGCUACUGGAGCCUGUCAGAUGAAUCCAGUCUAUAAAAAUAAGAAAGAAGCAGAUGUUCGGGGAGAAGAAGAGAGAUACAUGGGAAGCCCUUUCAUCAGCCCCUGGGACAGCACUGCCUGCCACAAUCGUUGAUCACUCCACGUCAGAAAAUUGAGAGCUGUGAGGCAGGGAGCGGGAGAGAGAAGCAAUGCCAGCUGCUAUGUGGGGAGUCCUUACUAUGUGCCUGGCCCAGGAGGAAAGAACCGGAUGGCUGAUUUCACUUUAUCUUUUCAACAACCCCGUAGAACAGAUACAACUAUUAGCCCCACUUUACAAGUUGAGAAAACCGAGACUUGCCCAUCAUCAGAGACCUAUUUUGGCAAAUCUGGCAUAUGUGGUCAUGCGUCAGGGUGGACUUUGUGGGGAGGCCUAUAUUUACCAGAGUGACUCUGAAAUUUACCUGCACUCCCAGUACCAUGCACAAACGUGGGCAGAAGUGAGACCGCAGAUCCAGACCCUUCCAGCGUGGGUGUAGACAGGAACCAGGAGCCUCAUGCACCCCAAGAUUGCAGUUACCUAAAUUCAUUUUGAAAAGAGGCGCCAAUUUUCUCCUCCCAUUGUGGCUGCCUCAGCGUGUGUUUGGCAAUUCUGAUUAAUUUCAUAUCUUAUAUUGGCUAGUUUUGUUCUAAUCCCUUUGUAGUGUGCUGGAGCCAGCUUGUAUGACUACUUGUUAAAUUUUCAGGAAAUUUGUGAGCCAGUUGUUGAGCACAGCAAUUAUUAAAAAUUAAGUUAUGUAAACUUGAAAUUAAACAAAUUGUAUUGAAAACAAAGGUAAUAAAUAUUCAAAUUCAUUUCCUCUAAUUACUGCAUUUUACUAUGAUCUAUGCCCUUGAGGUUAUUCAUUAUUUAUUGCCCUUGAGGUUAUUCUAUUAUGUCUGCAUAGGGAAAAAACUAUAAAGUGAUAUGCUACUGUGCUUAUCUUCCCAACUCGGCAUUCAGUGAUGUCACAUGUAGCUUGAAAUUGGCCACGGUCGGAAUCAGCAAACACUACAAGUCAGGACUUUUUUUCUAGGAGAGGAGGAUGGUGGUUAAACUUUUACCCGUACACCACUGAGUAGA